AUUGAACGCUGGCGGAAUGCUUUACACAUGCAAGUCGAACGGCAGCACGAGGGCAACCUUGGUGGCGAGUGGCGAACGGGUGAGUAAUACAUCGGAACGUGCCCAGUCGUGGGGGAUAACGUAGCGAAAGCUACGCUAAUACCGCAUACGAUCUAUGGAUGAAAGCGGGGGACCGUAAGGCCUCGCGCGAUUGGAGCGGCCGAUGGCAGAUUAGGUAGUUGGUGGGGUAAAGGCUCACCAAGCCUGCGAUCUGUAGCUGGUCUGAGAGGACGACCAGCCACACUGGAACUGAGACACGGUCCAGACUCCUACGGGAGGCAGCAGUGGGGAAUUUUGGACAAUGGCGGCAAGCCUGAUCCAGCCA
This 364-nucleotide ribosomal RNA is filed under the name uncultured bacterium. RNAcentral describes it as "bacterial SSU rRNA". It matches the Rfam family "Bacterial small subunit ribosomal RNA", at positions 30 to 394 of the family's 1533-position model. The record is from RNAcentral.